Molecule: ribosomal RNA, 253 nt
Filed under: uncultured bacterium
Lineage: Bacteria
Description: partial 16S ribosomal RNA
Rfam family: Bacterial small subunit ribosomal RNA
Source: RNAcentral
UACGAAGGGGGCUAGCGUUGCUCGGAAUUACUGGGCGUAAAGCGCACGUAGGCGGCCUGUUAAGUCGGGGGUGAAAUCCUGGGGCUCAACCUCAGAAUUGCCUCCGAUACUGGCAGUCUCGAGUGCGGGAGAGGUGAGUGGAAUUCCCAGUGUAGAGGUGAAAUUCGUAGAUAUUGGGAAGAACACCAGUGGCGAAGGCGGCUCACUGGCCCGUAACUGACGCUGAGGUGCGAAAGCGUGGGGAGUAAACAGG